Molecule: long non-coding RNA, 1558 nt
Organism: Pan paniscus (pygmy chimpanzee)
Lineage: Eukaryota; Metazoa; Chordata; Mammalia; Primates; Hominidae
Source: Ensembl
GAAUGUUUCAUCAUGAGAUGUAAGCAUCAUGUUCAAGACCCUGAGUGCUUCAUAAAAAAAAAAGUUCCUUUUCCACCAAAAUAAUGCCCUGAUUUGAGUGCUUCAUCAAAAGAGAAAGAUUUCUCAUGAUAAACCAUAUUCUAAGCACUUAGAUCACAAUAUAGUAAAUUUUCAAAAGGAAGUCACUUUUGCCAAGAUAUAAAGGCUCAUGUAUGUAAAUUCUAUGCUUCCAAUAUAAGCACAUUUCAAAAAUAUUAUUAAACACUUAUUUACUGAGUGCUGCUUAUAUGCCUCCUAUUCUCACUCUUUUUUGUGGUUGAAUUUAAUCAACACACAACUCUAAGGAAUAGGCAUGACUCAUUAUUUUCAUUUUACACUUGAGGAAACUGAGGCACUCAGUGUUUUACAUAUAUAAAAACGAGUAUGAGGUUCAGCCAAAAUUCAAAUACCGAACGUCUGGCUCCAAAGCCCACAUGGUAUUCACCAUAAAUAGAAAUUUCAUACUAGAAAUCAUAUUGUUUUCUUUCCCUCAGGAGCAAUUUAGGAAAUAAAUUAAAAACUUUAAAGUGGUGAUUUAAAGCAACUCACCUUUUUGCCAGUUAUGUGUUACCUUAAGAGAAAAUUGCAAGAAAUGAGAAAGAUAAAGCUUGAUGAGGAUGACACUAUCAUGAAUCACACGAAAAGAAAAGAGGAUUAUUUAGCAUAUUGAAUAUGAAGUUGUAGAUUCAGGGCAACAUCAAGACGGAUGAACUCCCCCACCAAGCUGUUUAACAAACUGGCUCUCUGUCGAGCUGGCCAUGCCGAGUUAGUAGCAGAUCUGCAAUGAUGCCUCUACCAAGCUCACAAUUAUACAAAUGGUGCAGCAGCAGGAAAGCACAUAGAAGAAGGCUACACAGAAGAUACAAGCUCCAGUCAGGUCAUGACACAAAGCCACAGAACUUAACUGGGAAAUGAGCAAUGCUUAUGUGUCCAGCAUUGUCUCAAUUGGUUUCCCAUGCAGAGAGCUCAAAGAGCAUCCUAUCUGAUAUGCACCAGGCAACAACUGAGAACAAGGACCAGCCAAAGUCAUCAGAAGGGUAGCACAGUUGCUGCUAGCAGAUGCCCAAACUUCAACGGGAGCUUAGGCUUCUGGAGGGAAUGCUGACUUUCCUUCCUCUGUUGUGGAAAAGGCUAGCUGCCUGGUCUUCUUAAUUCUAGAAAUGACUUUGAUGUGCCUGCAGUUCUCUUCCACUCCAGCUUUAGCAUUCUGCCCUGCCUAUAUUCUCUCUGCUGAACUUUUUCUCUCCUCUUCACUGUGAUGAAGUCAGGGACAGACUUCCUAAUUGUCCUAAUUUGGAACAGAGCUCAGGCCAUAAAGCAUCCUCCCUAAAGCCAUCGAUGGAGCAAGCAUCUUCAUCUCAUCACAUCCAAUAUUAUGAGCUAAAUAACAAUAGAAUCAUAAGAUUUCCUCAAGCCACAUGUUAGUGUUAAUAAUGGCUUCCCUAAAUAUAUUUUGUUAAAACAUUUCAGCAUUUUCUAAUUAUUUUCACACGUAUUUCAUUGCUUAAAGAUACUAAAC